This is a long non-coding RNA of Panthera uncia (snow leopard), 260 nucleotides long. RefSeq lists it as uncharacterized. The record is from RefSeq and is a predicted model, not a curated record. The transcript is spliced from 3 exons. Lineage: Eukaryota; Metazoa; Chordata; Mammalia; Carnivora; Felidae.
UUCUCUCUGGUCUGGCACAAAGCUAGUGACAGAAUGACUGUUUCUGUGUAUCAGGAUCGGUAGUCAAGGGACGAGGAAAAGGUAGAAGAGAAGUGUGUACAUAUGAAUAUUAAUGAAAAGGAUGUGGUAAACAAGAAGGUAUAAUGACGAUAUGUGAAAUGAACAAAACAAGAUUUCAUUCAGCUUCAUGCAGUCAUUGAAAAGGGAGGCACAAUGGAUCUGAGCUAUUUUUUUUUUUUGCACCAGAAACACGGUUUCUG